GACGAACGCUGGCGGCGUGCCUAAUACAUGCAAGUCGAGCGGACUGAAUGGGAGCUUGCUCUUGUUCGGUCAGCGGCGGACGGGUGAGUAACACGUGGGCAACCUGCCCGCAAGACCGGGAUAACUCCGGGAAACCGGAGCUAAUACCGGAUAACACCGAAGACCGCAUGGUCUUUGGUUGAAAGGCGGCGCAAGCUGCCACUUGCGGAUGGGCCCGCGGCGCAUUGGCUAGUUGGUGAGGUAACGGCUCACCAAGGCGACGAUGCGUAGCCGGCCUGAGGGGGUGACCGGCCAAACUGGGACUGAGACACGGCCCAGACUCCUACGGGAGGCAGCAGUAGGGAAUCUUCCGCAAUGGGCGAAAGCCUGACGGAGCGACGCCGCGUGAGCGAAGAAGGCCUUCGGGUCGUAAAGCUCUGUUGUGAGGGACGAAGGAGCGCCGUUUGAAGAAGGCGGCGCGGUGACGGUACCUCACGAGGAAGCCCCGGCUAACUACGUG
RNAcentral lists this ribosomal RNA (499 nucleotides) under uncultured bacterium. Its description in RNAcentral is "partial 16S ribosomal RNA". It matches the Rfam family "Bacterial small subunit ribosomal RNA", at positions 28 to 507 of the family's 1533-position model. The record is from RNAcentral.